This 465-nucleotide ribosomal RNA is filed under the name Vreelandella stevensii. RNAcentral's name for it is "partial 16S ribosomal RNA". It matches the Rfam family "Bacterial small subunit ribosomal RNA", at positions 338 to 795 of the family's 1533-position model. Lineage: Bacteria; Pseudomonadati; Pseudomonadota; Gammaproteobacteria; Oceanospirillales; Halomonadaceae. The record is from RNAcentral.
CCUACGGGUGGCAGCAGUGGGGAAUAUUGGACAAUGGGCGAAAGCCUGAUCCAGCCAUGCCGCGUGUGUGAAGAAGGCCUUCGGGUUGUAAAGCACUUUCAGUGGGGAAGAAAGCCUUGGGGCUAAUACCCUCGAGGAAGGACAUCACCCACAGAAGAAGCACCGGCUAACUCCGUGCCAGCAGCCGCGGUAAUACGGAGGGUGCGAGCGUUAAUCGGAAUUACUGGGCGUAAAGCGCGCGUAGGCGGUCUGAUAAGCCGGUUGUGAAAGCCCCGGGAUCAACCUGGGAACGGCAUCCGGAACUGUCAGGCUAGAGUGCAGGAGAGGAAGGUAGAAUUCCCGGUGUAGCGGUGAAAUGCGUAGAGAUCGGGAGGAAUACCAGUGGCGAAGGCGGCCUUCUGGACUGACACUGACGCUGAGGUGCGAAAGCGUGGGUAGCAAACAGGAUUAGAUACCCCGGUAGUC